GAGAGUAUAGCUCAGUUGGUUUAGAGCAUUACCUUGACAGGGUAGGGGUCGGGGGUUCGAAUCCCUCUACUCUCA
This 75-nucleotide transfer RNA is filed under the name Saprospiraceae bacterium. RNAcentral's name for it is "tRNA-Val". It matches the Rfam family "tRNA". Rfam says of the family: Transfer RNA (tRNA) molecules are approximately 80 nucleotides in length. Their secondary structure includes four short double-helical elements and three loops (D, anti-codon, and T loops). Further hydrogen bonds mediate the characteristic L-shaped molecular structure. tRNAs have two regions of fundamental functional importance: the anti-codon, which is responsible for specific mRNA codon recognition, and the 3' end, to which the tRNAs corresponding amino acid is attached (by aminoacyl-tRNA synthetases). tRNAs cope with the degeneracy of the genetic code in two manners: having more than one tRNA (with a specific anti-codon) for a particular amino acid; and 'wobble' base-pairing, i.e. permitting non-standard base-pairing at the 3rd anti-codon position. The record is from RNAcentral. Lineage: Bacteria; Pseudomonadati; Bacteroidota; Saprospiria; Saprospirales; Saprospiraceae.